CUGGCCGUAAACGAUGAAUGCUAGGUGUGGGUGUAGCGAUACAUCUGUGCCGUAGUUAACGCGUUAAGCAUUCCGCCUGGGGAGUACGAUCGCAAGAUUGAAACUCAAAGGAAUUGACGGGGGCCCGCACAAGCGGUGGAGCACGUGGUUUAAUUCGAUGCAAACCGAAGAACCUUACCUGGGUUUGACAUGUACGUAUUACUGAGAUGAAAGUCGAUGGACCUAGUUUUCGGAUUAGGAGCGUACACAGGUGC
Molecule: ribosomal RNA, 254 nt
Filed under: uncultured Synergistaceae bacterium
Lineage: Bacteria; Thermotogati; Synergistota; Synergistia; Synergistales; Synergistaceae
Description: partial 16S ribosomal RNA
Rfam family: Bacterial small subunit ribosomal RNA
Source: RNAcentral